Molecule: ribosomal RNA, 427 nt
Filed under: uncultured bacterium
Lineage: Bacteria
Description: SSU rRNA
Rfam family: Bacterial small subunit ribosomal RNA
Source: RNAcentral
CAAUGGGGGAACCCUGNAUGCAGCGACGCCGCGNUGAAGGAAGAAGUAUCUCGUGCNAAANAAACUUCUNGAAACAGGGNAAGAUAGUGACGGUACCUGACUCCCCAAGCCCCGGCUAACUACGUGCCAGCAGCCGCGGUAAUACGUAGGGGGCAAGCGUUAUCCGGAUUUACUGGGUGUAAAGGGAGCGUAGACGGACUGGCAAGUCUGAUGUGAAAGGCGGGGGCUCAACCCCUGGACUGCAUUGGAAACUGUUAGUCUUGAGUGCCGGAGAGGUAAGCGGAAUUCCUAGUGUAGCGGUGAAAUGCGUAGAUAUUAGGAGGAACACCAGUGGCGAAGGCGGCUUACUGGACGGUAACUGACGUUGAGGCUCGAAAGUGUGGGGAGCAAACAGGAUUAGAUACCCUGGUAGUCCAAGGGCGAAUUC